AUGCAACGCGAAGAACCUUACCCAGCUCUUGACAUCCUGCGAAUUUUCUAGAGAUAGAUUGGUGCCUUCGGGAACGCAGUGCCAGGUGGUGCAUGGCUGUCGUCAGCUCGUGUCGUGAGAUGUUGGGUUAAGUCCCGCAACGAGCGCAACCCUUAUUUUUAGUUGCUAAUUUAUUUUAGGUUUUCUAGAAAGACUGCCGGUGACAAACCGGAGGAAGGUGAGGAUGACGUCAAGUCAGCAUGCCCCUUAUGCCUUGGGCUACACACGUGCUACAAUGGUUAAGACAAAGAGCCGCGAGCUCGUGAGAGUCAGCUAAUCUCAUAAACUUAGCCUAAGUUCGGAUUGUAGGCUGCAACUCGCCUGCAUGAAGUCGGAAUCGCUAGUAAUCGCUGGUCAGCCAUACCUCGGUGAAUCCGUUCCCGGGCCUUGUACACACCGCCCGUCACA
This 447-nucleotide ribosomal RNA is filed under the name uncultured dinoflagellate. Its description in RNAcentral is "bacterial SSU rRNA". It matches the Rfam family "Bacterial small subunit ribosomal RNA", at positions 954 to 1401 of the family's 1533-position model. Lineage: Eukaryota; Dinophyceae. The record is from RNAcentral.